RNAcentral lists this unclassified non-coding RNA (411 nucleotides) under Hevea brasiliensis (rubber tree). The record is from RNAcentral. Lineage: Eukaryota; Viridiplantae; Streptophyta; Magnoliopsida; Malpighiales; Euphorbiaceae.
UUUUAUUUUCUUUUUUUAUUAUUUAUUUAAAGAGCAAAUUUUUCCUGUUCAGUUAAAAACAGUUGAGAGCUUCCUCUUUAAUUAAAUAGAGAAGAUAUCCUCUUUUAUUCUUUCUUUGAUUUUCGGCCAACAUAGGAGAUUGGCUACCUUUUCAUAUUUUUAUUUUAUUUUUUAAAAAUAUCUCCCCUAUUUUCUUCCUUUCUUAAUCUAAUUUUCCCUUAAGUGUAAAAGGAAGACUAGAUUCACUCUUUUUCUCCAUGGUUAGUCAAAAAUGAGCUUGGAGCAAGGUCUUAAUGGGCCUUCCCCUAGUUGGCACUCCCUAGGCUUGUUUUGGUUCAAUACAACCUUGGGUUGGGUCCAAUUGAAGCACAGGAGAUACAUGUCUUUGCUUAUGAGCCUCACUGCUCUUUC